AGCAGCCGCGGUAAUUCCAGCUCCAAUAGCGUAUAUUAAAGUUGCUGCAGUUAAAAAGCUCGUAGUUGAAUUUCGGGAUCAAUAUGUUGGUCGUGCCUCGGUACGUACUAGCUUAUUGGUUUCUUCCUUCUGACGAACCAUAAUGUCAUUUAUUUGGUGUUAUGGGGAAUCAGGACUGUUACUUUGAAAAAAUUAGAGUGUUUAAAGCAGGCUCACGCUUGAAUACAUUAGCAUGGAAUAAUGAAAUAGGACGUUUGAUUCUAUUUUGUUGGUUUCUAGGAUCGACGUAAUGAUUAAUAGGGAUAGUUGGGGGCAUUAGUAUUCAAUUGUCAGAGGUGAAAUUCUUGGAUUUAUUGAAGACUAACUACUGCGAAAGCAUUUGCCAAGGAUGUUUUCAUUAAUCAAGAACGAAAGUUAGGGGAUCGAAGACGAUCAGAUACCGUCGUAGUCUUAACCAUAAACUAUGCCGACUAGGGAUCGGAUGAUGUUAAUUUUUUAAUGACUCAUUCGG
RNAcentral lists this unclassified non-coding RNA (511 nucleotides) under uncultured Entrophospora. RNAcentral describes it as "SSU rRNA". It matches the Rfam family "Eukaryotic small subunit ribosomal RNA", at positions 569 to 1083 of the family's 1831-position model. Lineage: Eukaryota; Fungi; Glomeromycota; Glomeromycetes; Entrophosporales; Entrophosporaceae. The record is from RNAcentral.